RNAcentral lists this ribosomal RNA (700 nucleotides) under Enterobacter cloacae. RNAcentral's name for it is "bacterial LSU rRNA". It matches the Rfam family "Bacterial large subunit ribosomal RNA", at positions 2243 to 2925 of the family's 2925-position model. Lineage: Bacteria; Pseudomonadati; Pseudomonadota; Gammaproteobacteria; Enterobacterales; Enterobacteriaceae. The record is from RNAcentral.
GGUUGCGGACAGUGUCUGGUGGGUAGUUUGACUGGGGCGGUCUCCUCCCAAAGAGUAACGGAGGAGCACGAAGGUUAGCUAAUCCUGGUCGGACAUCAGGAGGUUAGUGCAAUGGCAUAAGCUAGCUUGACUGCGAGAGUGACGGCUCGAGCAGGUGCGAAAGCAGGUCAUAGUGAUCCGGUGGUUCUGAAUGGAAGGGCCAUCGCUCAACGGAUAAAAGGUACUCCGGGGAUAACAGGCUGAUACCGCCCAAGAGUUCAUAUCGACGGCGGUGUUUGGCACCUCGAUGUCGGCUCAUCACAUCCUGGGGCUGAAGUAGGUCCCAAGGGUAUGGCUGUUCGCCAUUUAAAGUGGUACGCGAGCUGGGUUUAGAACGUCGUGAGACAGUUCGGUCCCUAUCUGCCGUGGGCGCUGGAGAAUUGAGGGGGGCUGCUCCUAGUACGAGAGGACCGGAGUGGACGCAUCACUGGUGUUCGGGUUGUCAUGCCAAUGGCACUGCCCGGUAGCUAAAUGCGGAAGAGAUAAGUGCUGAAAGCAUCUAAGCACGAAACUUGCCCCGAGAUGAGUUCUCCCUGAGACUUAAAGUCUCCUGAAGGAACGUUGAAGACGACGACGUUGAUAGGUCGGGUGUGUAAGCGCAGCGAUGCGUUGAGCUAACCGAUACUAAUGAACCGUGAGGCUUAACCUUACAACGCCGAAG